This 763-nucleotide ribosomal RNA is filed under the name uncultured bacterium. Its description in RNAcentral is "bacterial SSU rRNA". It matches the Rfam family "Bacterial small subunit ribosomal RNA", at positions 63 to 861 of the family's 1533-position model. The record is from RNAcentral.
CGAACGAGAAAGUGGAGCAUCCAUGAGUAAAGUGGCGACCGGGUGAGUAACACGUGACUACCUACCCUUGAGUGGGGGAUAACCUCGGGAAACCGAGGCUAAUACCGCAUAAUAUCGAAAGAUCAAAGGAGUAAUCCGCUUUUGGAGGGGGUCGCGGCUGAUUAGCUAGUUGGUAGGGUAAUGGCCUACCAAGGCGAAGAUCGGUAUCCGGCCUGAGAGGGCGCACGGACACACUGGAACUGAAACACGGUCCAGACUCCUACGGGAGGCAGCAGUGGGGAAUUUUGCGCAAUGGGGGAAACCCUAAUGCAGCGACGCCGCGUGAGCGAUGAAGCCCUUCGGGGUGUAAAGCUCUUUCGACGGGAACGAUAAUGACGGUACCCGAAGAAGAAGCUGCGGCUAACUACGUGCCAGCAGCCGCGGUAAUACGUAGGCAGCGAGCGUUGUUCGGAAUUACUGGGCGUAAAGAGUGUGUAGGCGGUGUUCCAAGUCUGGUGUGAAAUCUCCCGGCUCAACUGGGAGGGUGCGCCGGAAACUGGGAUGCUAGAGUGUGGGAGAGGUAAGCGGAAUUCCUGGUGUAGCGGUGAAAUGCGUAGAUAUCAGGAGGAACACCUGUGGUGUAGACAGCUUACUGGACCACGACUGACGCUGAGACACGAAAGCGUGGGUAGCAAACAGGAUUAGAUACCCUGGUAGUCCACGCCCUAAACGAUGCAUACUUGGUGUGAGCGAUUCAUUUCGUUCGUGCCGGAGCUAACGCGUU